Molecule: long non-coding RNA, 351 nt
Filed under: Eucalyptus grandis
Lineage: Eukaryota; Viridiplantae; Streptophyta; Magnoliopsida; Myrtales; Myrtaceae
Description: long non-coding RNA (EGRA_LNC007963)
Source: RNAcentral
GAUUCGAGGAUUUUAGUCGCUAUUGUUGGUCUGAUUUUGGAUGUUCGAUGUCUACACACGGAGGAAAUGAAAUGAGACUAAUUCAAGCUUUUUUGCAUGUUCAGCGAAGCAUGUUUAGUUGUCUUGUUAUAUUUAUCAGCUUUCAAUUCCUAUUAGGCUUAUAGCUCUUCUCAGUUAUUCUCUUCUACCGGUUUGUUAUGGUGUAAUGAGAUAACUAUAACAGCUUUCGAUUAGGUUUCAUGUCAAUGGUGGUGAAUUUUCCUUGUGUUAUCUGAUCGGUUGUAGAGCAUGUAUAGCAGGAUUAUCAGGACUUAUGAGCCUAUUACAGGUUUAGGUUGAUUUUAUAACCCU